GGAUGGUUGGAUGGCAACCUUGCCAGCACCAGAAUCAUGUGUGGAGAUAUGAAUACGUUCUAAAAGACCUUAUAAUAAGAGACCAACUAUUACAGAAAUUAGCAGUAGCAGCGAUCUUCCUCCUUGGCUGUUGAUUUGGCAUUAUGAGGAGCAAAUCUGGUAUUUCGCUCAGAAAUUAUCUUCAUCUUUCUUCUCUUUUCCAUUUUAAUGGUGGAUCUUCUUCACGUAAGCUUCUUCAUCUCUCUCCUCUUUUCAUUUUCAAUUUCAAUUUCAGUUCCUCUCUUUUGAAUUCCCCCCCUUUUUACUUUCCAUCUAUUCUAUUUUCUUCCCGAUAUUACGCUUCUCAUUCUGUUCAUCUUCAUUUGGAUGACCCCAAAUUGUUUCUCAAAUUUGUUAGACAACAAUCCAAAUUAGGGUUUACUAAUGCUGAAAUCCCCCUUUCCCAUUUCCACCAUAUGAAAUCGAUGCGACCUCUUCCAUCUAUCAUUGAUUUCUGCAUGUCCAGUUAUUACCUCAGGCUCUCCUCCUUUUCAAGGAGAUGAAAAUCAAGGGAAUUUCCCCUAAUGUUAUCACCUAUACUACCUUAAUUCGAGGUAUGUGCACUUUGGGACAGCAGAAAGAGGCUCAACAAAUGCUGACUGAGAUGUUAAGGAACAACAUAACUCCUGACAUUCAGACCUACAACAUGUUGAUUGAUAUGUAUUGUAAAGAUGGCAAGGUUGGUCAAGCACGGGACAUUUUUGUUCACAUGACUGAGAGAGGAUUUGUUCCCAAUAUCAUCACUUACAAUGCUCUGUUAGAUGGAUACUGUUUACGUUGUGAGAUGGAUGAGGCAAAAAAACUUAUGGAUUUGAUGGUUGAAAAUGGUUGCAAACCUAAUGUAGUUACUUACAGCAGCUUAAUCAAUGGCUAUUGCAAGUCUAAAAAGAUUGACAAAGCUCUUGGUCUGCUCCAAGAGAUCCAUUUUAACGGAUUAGCCCCUGAUGUUAUCACGUACAACACUCUUAUAGAUGCUUUGUGCAAAGACAAUCAGCUCAAGCUUGCACACCAGUAUUUCAAGGAAAUGGAAGCUCAUGGACUAAAGCCAAAUGUAAUAACUUGGAAUUCAUUCCUUGACGGCAUGUGUAGGAAUGCACAAAUAGAUAAGGCAGUUGCAACAGUGAAGGAAAUGGAGAAUACUGGAAUGGUCCCUGAUAUUGUUACAUAUUGUACCCUAAUGGAUGGUCUGUGUGAAGCUAAUCGCCUUAGUGAAGCGAUACACAUCUUCUCCUUUCUCACAGCUAAAGGGCUGCAUGAUGUGCGUGCAUACACCAUAAUUAUAAAAGGGUUUUGUAAAGAAGGGUUGCUAGCAAAAGCCGAUGAAUUAUUGAAGAAUAUGGAGGACAAUAAAUGCUUUCCAAAUGAAUGCACCUUCAAUACAAUUAUUAGAGGAUUUAUAGAUGGAAAGGAUGCUAAGAGAGCUUUAGAGCUUGUCAGCUUAAUGAGAAACAAAGAGUUUGCUGCUGAUAAUCACACUAUAUCAUCAUUGGUGAGCUUACUCACUGAUCCUAAUAUUGGUGAUGCAGACAAGGAUUUGCUGAAAAAGUUUUUUGAGAACUGAGUGAACGAUGGUUAAAGCGGAGGUGGAAGGAGCGUUGAGUUAAGCAUAGAUGAUCAGCUGUGAAAGAGAUGUGAAAAUAGACAUCGUGAGUGAAAAUUGUAAAUUGGUACUAGGUUCAAGAACAGGGCAUUUAAGGUCAAUAACACCAGUCGUGUCAACUUUGCUAAGGGUAUAAUUUUACUAUUUUACAAGUAGGUUAAUUCCGUAUUAUACAAUGAAAUUAUUGCGCACAAGGAUCUACUCGUAGUUAGUUUUAAUCCAUUCACUUGCGAUGUGUUGAUUGAAUUUCCUUGGGUGUGUUUCAGCUUUCUGCAGAAUAACUACCCAUUGUGAUUUCAGUGUCAUUGAAGAUUUUGCUUCUUUGGGGGGG
Chenopodium quinoa (quinoa) is the source of this 1970-nucleotide RNA transcript. It is a transcript of the gene named putative pentatricopeptide repeat-containing protein At1g12700, mitochondrial, with no coding region annotated. The record is from RefSeq and is a predicted model, not a curated record. Lineage: Eukaryota; Viridiplantae; Streptophyta; Magnoliopsida; Caryophyllales; Amaranthaceae. The transcript is spliced from 2 exons.